RNAcentral lists this long non-coding RNA (741 nucleotides) under Daphnia pulex (common water flea). RNAcentral describes it as "uncharacterized LOC124201673, transcript variant X1". The record is from RNAcentral. Lineage: Eukaryota; Metazoa; Arthropoda; Branchiopoda; Diplostraca; Daphniidae.
GCUGUUUAUAAGCACACACAGGUUAGGUAUUUUAAUUUAAACCUUAAGUCCUAAAUGAAAAGGAUAUUUGUCGUUUGUUGUUUUAAUAUCUGUUUUGAUUUUUUUUUUUACAAAAAGCCCUUUGCUUGCUAACGCAGAUCAACAACCGCAACAACCGCUAACAAGCUGACAAUGUUAGGGCUUGGACACUGACGACAUCUGGCGGCCAGAUUUGUUUUCAAUUCUGGAGCAUAGGCUAGCCCUUUAGCCCCUACCUUCUUCUUCGUCUGCGUGCGCUUCACACCCUUUUCCUAUCAAUGGAAAGUCCUGAAAUCCCCCACCAGGUGCCACUGCAGUUUAAUAACAACAAUGACUGCCAUGGUUAGUGCACGUGAGAUCCUUGUGAAUGGAAAAUAGCAUGAUCAAGGCUGUUCUUCAAUUGCAAAGAAAGAGAAUUAUGAUUGAAACAAAUGCAAAAUAUCCAAUUGGAAUUCUCUUCGUAUUUGUGGUAAUUUUGGAAAAUUGUCUUUCCAGAGAAUAACACCUUAAAAGAAAGAACUGUGGUUGUGAUAAUGUAGCAGUAUUGUGUGAAUCUGUCGCCGCCAUUCCAUAGACUGACCCAUUGGGAUGGUGAAACUGAGGAGAAAACGCUGAAAUUCAAGAUAAUGAUGUAGAUAAAUUAAAAGUGCAUAUCUGGGCUCCCUUCUUUUCUGUGGCCCCGUUUCCCUAACUAACCACUAACCAACGCCCGCCGGUGGUCAC